GAAGAGAGAGUUAAAGAGCACGUGAAAUCGGUAAGGUGGAAACGGAUAGAGUUGACGUAUAUGACUUGUAUUCAAUCGUUAGAUAAUGCGUAACAAUGGGUUGUUUUUGUGUUGACCGGUUUAAUAUACGCUAUUUUCGGAUAGUUGUUUAUGUUGGGCUGGUUCGGCGCGCAGUCCAUUGGUGUUUACGUUUUUUAGCGGUGCAUUUACGAGUCAAUGUGCGCUGGGACAUGCGCGAUUUUCGGUCGUCGAAAAUGUUUGGUGCAAGAGGUUACUUUUAAAGUAUUUUAAAUUUUUAUUUAAAAUACCAAGUAAAACCGUGCCCCUUUUUUAUAGGCGAUUCGUCGUGCAUGUAGUACUAUAUUUAUUGGUUUUUUUAAAGGAUGGCAUUUUAUAAUGCGAAUGUUUAAAUUUAAUUGUAUUUGUUGAUUAGACGAGUCGCAUGCGACGCGUAUAAUUAUUUAAAAAAAUAAAUACAUUUAUUUAAACGUUUCCCAUUCUCCUUUAUCCCGGUGUAAAAGUCAAUCAUCUAUCCGACCCGUCUUGAAACACGGACCAAGGAGUUUAACGUAUACGCGAGUCAUUGGGUGUUAAAAACCUAAAGGCGUAAUGAAAGUGUAAGUAUUCAUUGAAAUACAAAUAUGUGAUCCCAUAAAUUCCGAUUUAAGGGCGCAGCAUAGCCCCGUUUUUGUCGCAUGCGAUGGAGCGGAGGAAGAGCGUAUGCGUUGAGACCCGAAAGAUGGUGAACUAUGCCUGAGCAGGACGAAGCCAGAGGAAACUCUGGUGGAAGUCCGAAUCGGUUCUGACGUGCAAAUCGAUCGUCUGACUUGGGUAUAGGGGCGAAAGACUAAUCGAACUAUC
Molecule: ribosomal RNA, 861 nt
Filed under: Fergusobia sp. 330
Lineage: Eukaryota; Metazoa; Nematoda; Chromadorea; Rhabditida; Neotylenchidae
Description: partial 28S ribosomal RNA
Rfam family: Eukaryotic large subunit ribosomal RNA
Source: RNAcentral